UUGAUUUUGUCUCAUUUCGUCAUAUCAUAUUACAUUACCAAUUUGAAUCAAACCACUCUUCCUAUUCAACAUUUAUGUUCGCUAAUACAUAACUCAGAUUCGAACUAAUUUACGGAUCCUACUAAUACUACAAUUCGGCACCUAGUGCCUAAUCGAUACGUCUUGAACUAAACAAAUUGCUCCCAGCGUUCAUCAGUUCAUCCGAAGCAAUAAUUGUGCCCAGCACUCGUCG
RNAcentral lists this long non-coding RNA (232 nucleotides) under Gossypium barbadense (sea-island cotton). Its description in RNAcentral is "long non-coding RNA (GBAR_LNC013746)". Lineage: Eukaryota; Viridiplantae; Streptophyta; Magnoliopsida; Malvales; Malvaceae. The record is from RNAcentral.